AUUGAACGCUGGCGGCAGGCCUAACACAUGCAAGUCGAACGGUAACAGGAAGCUGCUUGCUGCUUCGCUGACGAGUGGCGGAUGGGUGAGUAAUGUCUGAGCAACUGCCUGAUGGAGGGGGAGAACUACUGGAAACGGUAGCUAAUACCGCAUAACGUCGCAAGACCAAAGAGAUUGACCUUAGGGCCUCUCGCCAUCGGAUUUGCCCAGAUGGGUUUAGCUAGUAGGUGGGGUAACGGCUCACCUAGGCGACGAUCCGUAGCUGGUCUGAGAGGAUGACCAGCCACACUGGAACUGAGACACGGUCCAGACUCCUACGGGAGGCAGCAGUGGGGAAUAUUGCACAAUGGGCGCAAGCCUGGUGCAGCCAUGCCGCGUGUAUGAAGAAGACCUUCGGGUUGUAAAGUACUUUCAGCGGGGAGGAAGGGAGUAAAGUUAAUACCUUUGCUCAUUGACGUUACCGGAAGAAGAAGCACCGGCUAACUCCGUG
RNAcentral lists this ribosomal RNA (490 nucleotides) under uncultured bacterium. RNAcentral describes it as "partial 16S ribosomal RNA". It matches the Rfam family "Bacterial small subunit ribosomal RNA", at positions 30 to 507 of the family's 1533-position model. The record is from RNAcentral.